Unclassified non-coding RNA from Pongo abelii (Sumatran orangutan), 206 nucleotides. It matches the Rfam family "Metazoan signal recognition particle RNA". Rfam says of the family: The signal recognition particle (SRP) is a universally conserved ribonucleoprotein. It is involved in the co-translational targeting of proteins to membranes. Lineage: Eukaryota; Metazoa; Chordata; Mammalia; Primates; Hominidae. The record is from Ensembl.
AAGAGAACUUUAAGAUAGCUGGUCAUUAUGCUGACCGGGUGUCUGCACUAAGUUUGGCAUCAAUAUGGUGACCUCCUGGGAGAGGGGGCCACCAGGUUGCCUAAGGACAGGAGAACUGGUCCAGGUCAGAAAGGGAGCAGGUCAGAAUUCCUGCACCAAUCGGUAGUGGGACUGUGCCUGGGCAAUAUAGCAAGAUCUUGAUUCUU